UACGAAGGGGGCUAGCGUUAAUCGGAAUUACUGGGCGUAAAGCGUGCGCAGGCGGUGAUGUAAGACAGGUGUGAAAUCCCCGGGCUUAACCUGGGAACUGCGCUUGUUACUGGCAGGCUUGAGUGUGGCAGAGGGGGGUGGAAUUCCACGUGUAGCAGUGAAAUGCGUAGAGAUGUGGAGGAACACCGAUGGCGAAGGCAGCCCCCUGGGCUAACACUGACGCUCAUGCACGAAAGCGUGGGGAGCAAACAGG
RNAcentral lists this ribosomal RNA (253 nucleotides) under uncultured bacterium. RNAcentral describes it as "partial 16S ribosomal RNA". It matches the Rfam family "Bacterial small subunit ribosomal RNA", at positions 524 to 776 of the family's 1533-position model. The record is from RNAcentral.